UUAGUAGAGCGGCGCACGGGUGAGUAACACGUGGCUAACCUACCUUUCAGUGGGGGAUAACUCGGGGAAACUCGAGCUAAUACCGCAUACGUUUCGCAAGAAGGAAAGCAGGGGACCUCUUCGGGGGCCUUGUGCUGAAAGAUGGGGCCGCGGUCCAUCAGGUAGUUGGUGGGGUAAAGGCCUACCAAGCCGAAGACGGAUAGCUGGUCUGAGAGGAUGAUCAGCCACACUGGAACUGAGACACGGUCCAGACUCCUACGGGAGGCAGCAGUGGGGAAUAUUGCGCAAUGGGGGAAACCCUGACGCAGCAACGCCGUGUGUGCGAUGAAGGCCCUCGGGUCGUAAAGCACUGUCAACAGGGAAGAUGGGUUCAUACUCUAAUAGAGUGUGGAUUUGACGGUACCUGUGGAGGAAGCACCGGCUAACUCUGUGCCAGCAGCCGCGGUAAUACAGAGGGUGCAAGCGUUGUUCGGAAUUAUUGGGCGUAAAGCGCGCGUAGGCGGUCUGACAAGUCGGAUGUGAAAGCCCGGGGCUCAACCUCGGAAGUGCAUCCGAAACUAGCAGACUUGAAUCUUGGAGGGGGCAGUGGAAUUCCCGGUGUAGAGGUGAAAUUCGUAGAUAUCGGGAGGAACACCAGUGGCGAAGGCGACUGCCUGGACAAUGAUUGACGCUGAGGUGCGAAAGCGUGGGUAGCAAACAGGAUUAGAUACCCUGGUAGUCCACGCCGUAAACGAUGAGUACUAGGUGUUGCGGGUAUUGACUCCCGCAGUGCCGUCGCUAACGCAUUAAGUACUCCGCCUGGGAAGUACGGCCGCAAGGCUAAAACU
RNAcentral lists this ribosomal RNA (827 nucleotides) under uncultured bacterium. RNAcentral describes it as "bacterial SSU rRNA". It matches the Rfam family "Bacterial small subunit ribosomal RNA", at positions 87 to 901 of the family's 1533-position model. The record is from RNAcentral.